Molecule: long non-coding RNA, 3105 nt
Filed under: Sus scrofa (pig)
Lineage: Eukaryota; Metazoa; Chordata; Mammalia; Artiodactyla; Suidae
Description: lncRNA (ENSSSCG00015073761.1)
Source: RNAcentral
GAACCUGGGCCUGUUAGUGGGUUUAGGACACUCUUUUUGAUUGAAAAUGGGCGCUGAAGGGGUUGUCCAGAGGCGAGAGGGCAUACCGUUUAAAAUAGUAAGAGUAAAUUUUAGAUGGCUACAAAAAACUGAUGGGCAGAUUCCAUGGUUGAAGGCACCACCCUUGUGCUCAUCAGGAUUUAGUCUUGCGCUCUUGUGUUCUAGCUCUGUGAUCUGGUAUAAAUCACUUUACAUCCUUUGGGCAUCCUCCUUAGCUUUUUUAAGUUUCAGUAAGCUACGGAUAUUGGUGCUUCUCCUAUGUCCCUACACAGGGAUAGAGUGUGAAUUGGAUGAAAGAACUUUGUAUAUGACAUAGAACAGUAUAGGUCUUAAUAUUAUGAUUAGGACUAAUCUUAAUAUUAGUGCUACUGUAGUUAAUUAAAUUAUAACAGUAGUAAAGAAGUUGAUCGUAAGAGCAGAAUGUGCUUUAGUUACUUGAUUGAGUAGAUUUCAAAAAGUGUCAACACUACUUUUUAAAACAAACCAAAGAGGACAGGAAAGUGGACCAGGGAAAGGAGAGGACUUUAAUGUGCCAGAGCUAACAACAGUGCCUGAUGCACAUAGAUGAAUAAAAUGUGCAACUUGAAUGAAUGUGCUGGGGCGAUAUUUAAAUUACUUUAACUUUCUUCUUUAUACUUUUUGUUUUUUCCAAGUUUGAUACAAGGAGGAUAUAUUAAUUUGAAAAUCAUUAACACCACAGUUUAAAAAAAAAACACAAGGAGUUUUGACCCACUGGCACAGUAGAUUAGAAAUCCAGCUGCAGUGGCUCAGGUCACUGCAGAGUCAUGGGUUUGAUUUCUGGUCCAGCACAGUGGAUUAAAGGAUUUGACUUUGCUGCAGCUGUGGUAUAGGUUGAAGCUGUGGCUGGGAUUCAGUCCUAUGAACUGAACUUCAUAUGCCAUGGGUGUGGCCAUAAAAAAUAAAGAAAACGUAAUAAAUAACAUGGCAGAUGAGCAUACCAUAGAGAUAGCUGGAAAUAGUAGCAGUGAUUGGUAGAGGAGGAGACUUGGGGAUGAUGAAAAGAGUGCACAUUUUUUGGACAUUUUUGUGUUAGACAUGAUAAGUGCUUUAUAUACUUAAUUGUAUAUGAUCCUCUUAACAAGUCUGUAUGGUAGAUGCCAGUAUAAUGGUAGAUGCCAGUAUAAUGGUAGAUGCCACUGAUGAGGAAAUGGGCACAAGAGAUUUCCAGUGUAUUUCCCAAGUCUUAUAGUGGUUGGUGGCCAAAUCAGGAUUCAAAUCUAAUUGGUAUGACUCUAAAAUCUGUGUCUUAACACUUGAGCUAUGUUAAAUUCUGAAAUAACGUGGACAGCUUCCCAUCUUGAAAGUAACUGUCAUGAACUGCUAUUCUAAAUUCAAGCAAGUACAGAAACAGUUCAAAAUAGCCCAACAUAUUAUUAAGCUCACUCACUAAUUAAUGAACUGUGCCUUGAACCUCUGUAUCUUCUUCCCUCUAAACUACAUACUGUAUGCCAGGUUACUCUUAUAAUUUACUAAAUUGUCCAAUAAUCUGAUGCUUCUAACUUUUUUUAAUAGUUAUUUCCCCAAUACAAUUUUUUUUUCUACUGUACAGCAUGGUAACCCAGUUACACAUACAUGUAUACAUUCUAUUUUCACAUAUCAUGCUCCAUCAUAAGUGACUAGACAUAGUUCCCAGUGCUACACAGCAGGAUCUCAUUGCUAAUCCAUUCCAAAGGCAAUAGUUUGUAUCUGUUAACCCCAAGCUCCCCCACUCCCUCCCCCUCCCCCUGCCCCUCCCCCUUGGCAACCACAAGUCUAUUCUGCAAGUCCAUGAUUUUCUUUUCUGUGGAAAGGUUCAUUUGUGCCUUAUAUUAAAUUCCAGAUAUACAUGAUAUCAUAUGGUAUUUGUGUUUCUCUUUCUGACUUACUUUACUCAGUAUGACAAAGGAGGCAAGAACAAAAUGGGAAAAAGACAGUCUUUUCAGCAAGCAUUGCUGGGAAACCUGGACAGCUUCAUGUAAAUCAAUGAAACUAGAACACACCCUGACACCAUGCAUGAAUAUAAACUCAAAAUGGCUGAAAGACUUAAAUAUAAGACAAGACGCCAUCAAACUCCUGGAAGAGAACAUAGGCAAAAACAUUCUCUGACAUCAACCUUACAAAUGUUUUCUCAGGUCAGUCUCCCAAAGUAACUUUUUAUCAGCUAGAAGCGUGCCUCUGGUAUCUCCUACUAGGACUCUGAAAGGGCUAAACUUUGUUUGCCUCUCUUCGUACCUAUGUCUUCCCCAACUCAGGGGUGCACCAAAACUUAAAGUACCCCUUUAAGAUAAUGACUGCACAAUUAUAAGUCCAAAAUGAAAUAAGGAAUCAAUAUUUAUUUAAAAUAAAAAGAAAUAAUAAUUAUAUUUUUUAAAAGCUGGCAAAUACCUUAGCACCUUGCAUUACUAAGGUCACUCUCCAGUCUUUGCAAAUGGCCCAUGCAAAUAAAAAAUGCAGUCUCUAUAUCUGCCCCAGCUCCCUUCUAAGAGCAACUGAACAUUGUUGUAACACAACUCCUGUCAACUCCUCCAGUCCAAAAGGAAAGAGCAGUGAUGAAAGGCUUUCUUUUUUUGGUCCACACAUAACAUAAAAUAAGAAAUUAAUAAUUUAAAAGUUAACACAACAAACAUAAACAAAGAUUGGUCAGAGUAAAACUUGAAGAUGCAUUUGAUAUCAGAUAAACCAAAAAGAAAGGGCAAGACCAAGGAGCAGGUAUAAUGUUACAGGCUCACGCCCACAUUGUGUACAUUAACAGAGGGUCAUCUAAAGAGUUAUUCUGUAAUGCCUAAAGAGUGAGGUUGGACUCCUACAUAUUACUAAAGCUAGGGGAAUUACUAAGCAGAGUGUCUCUAGCAUCUCCAUUUUUCCUUAAUUCCUCCUGAGUUGAUAGGGCAGUUCUUGAUCUUUUCUACUACCCUCGAGCACCAAAUGGUCAUACUUAAAUUGUCCUCUUAAUGAUUUCCCAGGAGGUUGAACUUGACCAUACAGCGAGGUAAAGUAGUUCAGAUAUCAGUGACAUAGAGGGGAAUCAAGAUUAUCUUCCAUAUCUCAUCAUUUAUAAAAAAAAAA